AAAAUCGUGUAAUGUGAAUGACUGCCAGAGAACCAUAAGGGCAUUUUAUGAAAAAAUGCCUUUUAAUAUCUCUCAAAUGCUGGCUUUUUGUUAUUGUUCUCCAUCUGACAACAACUGUACAAAUUCAGAAGCAGUUCUUCAUAGUAAACCAUGUGCUGUGCAGACAGAUGUUUCCACUUCCUGCUUAAGUGUUUUUCGUAGAUGCCUUGAAGAUGAAGCAUGCAGGUUUGUAAAAAAAUAUAUCCUUAUCAUGGAGAUGCUAGCGUAAUUUAGAUUUAGCAUAAUUAUAUACCCCAAAGAAAAUUGUAUAUUUUUGUUGGUAAUAUAAUUACAAACAGCUUACAUGAACAAAUACAUGAAAAAAAAUAUAAAAAUAACAAAAUAAAAUGUAAAUGACUAUGAAUUUAACUAACUGAUAUAGCUAUCCUUAAGGAACAUUCCAAUGGAUUUUUAAAAUCAAUUUAGUAGUACUGUCAAGCACUUUUUGUUGGAGAAACUAAACUUUUAGCAUAACAGCUAUUUAAAGCAAGGGACAUUUAGCUAGUAAAUAAACAUGUAUGUACAUACUGGGCAUUGGAUGAGAUAUCCUCCUUAAACCAACCAUGAACUCCCCCCCCACCCCAAAUAACGACAGACACUAAAUCCUUGAAUAUAACCGGCCACAGCAUUUAUUAAAAAAAUACAAAUACUGUGUAAUGCAUCCAAUUCGUAUAAAACUGUACAUAUAAAUAACUAAAACGAUCAAACCUAAACAUACAAAUAACAGUACAUAAUGUCAUACAGUAUGCCCUCAAUGUAAUCAAAAUGUCCUUGCCAAUCUAACUCACCCCUUCCCAAAGGCUCUCACCUCCCCACUCAGCAUAAUAAAUUCCGAUUCCCUUUUGGGCUCCCCACCAGCUGGCUUUUAGCUCGGUGGGACCCGACCAUAAUGCUCCCCACCAGCCGGCUUUUCACUUGGUAGGGAAACAUCCAGUCUGGUAUCCCUUUCCUUAGGAGCCAGAUCGCAACAUAAUAACUAUAAUUAAUAUCGUAUCUUUCUGUGCGCUCGAUGAUGCUGCCAUGAGGGGCAGCGGGGGAGGCUGGAGGAGAUGCAGGCCACUCGUCACGUGGCUCCGGCAUGGGGUCCUGGCGCUGACUCAGGUCCGGGCUGUGGCUCCUAUACUGGGCCCGAGGGGAGGCACUUGGGUUCAGCUAAGGAGGACGGGUGCGCCGAUCCGCGCUGGUGCGGCCACCCAGGGAGGAUAUCAUGGGAGGGGGAACAGGGGGAGCCACACUGUGGGGAGGGGAGUCCGCACCACCAGAUGGCUGGGGCUGAAGUAGGCGAGCAAACUGCUCGCGGAGCUGCCGUCCACCGUCCACUGCUGCCUCAGCUCUGAGGGCUGACAGGAUUGCUCAAUAUCCAUGCCACAGGCCGAAAUCACCAACAGGCCCAAUAACAGGAGGAAUGCAAAGAAACUGUUGCUGGCCCAGAUCCUAAGUGGCACUGACGUCAGCUUAAUUUGUCACCAUCCACUUCCUUACAUCCAACACUCCCACACAUAACAAACAGCCAAUCAUGUUUCAUCCAUUCCCACACUCAUACAUGUGCCCUUGUCUGCUAAGCUGCACACUCUCCCUUGGGCCUAAUACUAAAACAACAAUCAGCAUAUAGAUUGCUUUUUAGACAAACAUAAACAUUAUGUAAAUUUACACAACCUUUAGUUUUCAUUUCUUUGUUCAUCCUAUAUUUACAUUUUUGGGGAAUGAAAAGCUUUUGAUAGUAUACAGUGAUCCUUAUCUUGCAAUAUAUCACACACAAUCUGAAAUUGUAGUGUAAAAGCAAAAAACAUUAUUUUCUCACAUAGAGUAGUGUAACAAAAUAGAGUAAUUAAAAUGGUCAAGUAACCCGCUGAAAGAUAUUUGUAAGGACCCUGGAUGUAUUAUUAGAAGUACAGCUUAUUGAAAAAUGGCAAUAUAAUGUAAAACAAAAGUCUGCUUUUAAAUAUAAUGCCUACAUACAAUGGGCACAUAUAUAUUUCUAACAUGAAGAUAUUUAACAAGUGCUAUUGCAAUUGUUAUCAGUCCAUGACUGUAAGAAUUAUAUGACUCAUUGAACGUCCUUUACUGUUUGGAAGGAGGGGUGAGCUAACAAUUUGAACACACUUAAAUGCAUUAUAUUAGUGACUAGUGGUUUCAGGUUUAAAAAUCCAUUCCUCUACAGGCUGGUAUUCAUUCAUAGAGUAUAAAUUAGUUUGAUUGGGCUUUAUAGACAACAUUUUGCUCUGCAAAGAACACAAAAAUAAAAAUGUUUUUGCUUGAUUCUGGAAGUAAAGGUGUUUAGGAAAAAAACUAUAUACAUGAUAAGAUGAAAAGUCAACCCACUUUCAACUUAUUUGCUCUUCCUUGCCAUGUAGAUACUCUGUUUAAAACAGCUUUACUGAAUCCAUUACUUUGAGCAGUGCACAUUGGCUUCAUGAGUAAAUAUAUAAAUUGAAUGUAACUUUGCAGUAACUGAAUAUAAACAUACAUGUAAAUAAAUUAUAAAUAUUGCCCCAUUUAUAUUUUUCUGAUGAGAUGAUCUCUUUCAUCACAAGGAGUAGAUUGGUUCUUUCAUCCCAUUAAGUGUAAUAUAGAUUUAUGUUUGUAUAGAUAUAGAAUAGAUUUAUGCUUGUAGAAUAUAAAAUAAAUGGGGAUAAUGGAGUCAGCAUUUGUCUUCUCUCAUAAUGAUUCAAUGGGGCACUCUAAGCACUAUUACCACUACAGGAUGCUGUUUAUGUCCCUUUGUCUAGAGUCCCAUAGAGCCAUCCCCAGUAGGAGAUAAAAUCAUUUGUAAGUGAUUUGGCUCACCUGGAUCCUCCUGUUCCUGGCACUGGAUAGUCCCUUUAAAAGCUGCAUACUCCAGUAAUACUGUAUAUUGAACGUUUAUUUUUUCAUAUUUGGCUGUUCACUUUGCAUUCUCACAUUAGUGAUUAACCCUUCUAGCAUGUUAAACACCUGCACAUACAAGGCAGCACAUAGGCUAAAUCAGUUGAGGAACUUAAGAACAUGUAUUAGCUGACACAUAGUUCAAAAUGCAUAAAAAUAAUACAGAGACUUUUAAGGAGCUUUCCAGCUUCUAAAACAACAAAGUCUGUGAAUCAAUCAUGGCUCACUUAUUGGGCUUCUAUUUGGAUUAGCUCCUGGUACCAAUGAUUGUCAUCCCUAAAAUAUUCAGUUAAUCAAUAUAUAUUAUAAAGCCAAUAUGAAAAAUGUAAUAUUGAGCUUUUACUAGAGUAUGCUUCUUUCAUGAAAUUUAAACAUAUUAGUUUUUGAUUUUAUAUAAAACUUAACAUAUGCUCUACACAUUUUUAUUUGCAGGCAAACAUAUG
RNAcentral lists this long non-coding RNA (3347 nucleotides) under Pelobates cultripes (western spadefoot toad). The record is from RNAcentral. Lineage: Eukaryota; Metazoa; Chordata; Amphibia; Anura; Pelobatidae.